CUUUUAUAGAUUCCACAUAGAAUUAAUAUAUGACAUUCAUUUUUCUCAAAAAGAUGCUGAUAUUAUCUUGGAAUUAUUCUGAUAAAUAGCUUAAAGCAGAGGCGACAUCUUGCUUCAUUCCAGAAACAGGUGAUACCCAGGUGUGUGAUCUGAGGACUGUGUGUGAUGGUACAGGGAAGAGUCAGAUCUUCUGAGAAUGGGGCCCUAUCUCCUUUUCCUGCCAGAUCUUGAGCCAGCUUCACAGGCUGCUGAUCUCUUUCUCAGCUAUCCCAGAACCAGAGCUCCUUCCUGCCCAAAUUGGAUUUACCUAAAAUUUCAUGGGCCUCAGACCCCAGGUCUCCGCCGAGGUCUCCAUCCAGUCUGCAGGCCUGAUGGCCCACCCUAGCCUCUGCAGCUGAGUCAUUGGACCCUUCCUGGGGAAACUCCCAAAGCAGGCCCACUGGAGCUCCAUCCAGUGUCCAUCCCAUGUGGAAACUCGGAGAUCAGGAAGCAAACUUCAGGCCUCCCUUGGUCUGACUGUACCCACUUUUGUGAUGCUGCAGAUGUAUCCUGGCUGGGUCAGGGCUAACUGAGAGGAGAUUCCCUUCCCAGAGCCCUGAACCAGGAGUCAGGACAAGGACCUGUUUCUGCCUUUUACCCGUGCUUAUAAAACACAUCUCUCCAUCCCAGGGCCCUGAUCCACGGACAUCAGGACAAAGUGGUCAGAGUCUUAAUUGCCUCCUUUUAUCUCCCUUAAGUUUCCUUCCCACCAUCAUCCAGGGCUGGAGAAAAUUGUCUUCCUUCUACUUUCCCUGCAGCAUCCUCCUUUUGCUUACAAGUUUCAGUCUUGGGAUGGCCAGACCCCUUGAUAUAUGGGAGGGAAAGAGUCAAGUUACCUAGAAAGCUGAGAACAAUAAGCUAUUUACUCUCCUGCUCUGUAAUCUAUUUCUUUAUGUCAGAAGCUGGAAAUUCAUUUGCUCUUUCCAUUGUAUACCUUCUUUACUUUAUCUUUUAAUUAACAUAUAAUUGACAUGUAAUAUAUUAGUUUCAGAUGUACAACAUAGUGAUUCAAUGUUACAAAAUGAUUACAGGAAGUUAACAUCAUCACAUGUAGUUAGAAAUUUUUAUUCUUGCUGUGAGAACUUUGGGAGUCUACAGUCUUAGCAACUUUCAGACACACAAUAUGGUGCAUUUAAUUGUAGUCACCAUGCUGUAUAUGAUAUCUCCAUAACUUAUUUCUUUUAUAACUGGAAGUUUGCACCUACAGAUUUCCCCAAACCCAUAUAACCUACUUAUAGUCAACGGCCAAUCUGCUCUAUAUAUUUGACUUCAUGGUUUUUUGUGUUUUUUUUUAAUUCUGAUUUUUUUUUCUUUUUUAGAUUCAUAUAUAGGUGAGAUCAUAUGGUAUUGUCUUUCUCUGAUCUAUUUCACUUAGCAUAAUACCCUCACAGUCCAUCCAUGUUGAUACAAAUGGCAGGAUUAUCUUCUUUUUGUGGCUGAAUGCCAUUCAUUGUACAUAUACACCACAUUGUCUUUAUCCACGCCUCUGUUGAUGGGCAGAUUAUUUCUAUGUUGUGGUUAUUGUGAAUAAGGCUGCUAUGAGCAUGAGAAUGCAAGACAGUGAUUUUGUUUCCUUCAGAUAAAUGCCCAGAAGUGGAAUUGCUAGAUCACAUGCUAUUAAGAGUUCAAUUUUUCAAUUUUUUUGAGGAAACUUCAUAUUGUUUUUCAUAGUGGCUUCACCAAUUUACAUUCCCAACAAGCAUGCGCAAGGGUUCCCUUUUUUCCACAUCUUAGCCAACACUUAUUUCUUGUCUUUUUGAAUAAGAACCGUUCUAACAGGUAUGAAGUGUAUCUCAGUAUGGUUUUGACUUGCACUUCCCUGUUGGUUAGUGAUUUUGAGCACCUUUUGUUACAACCGUUGGUCAUUUAUAUGCCUUUGGGGAAAUGUCUGUUCAGAUCCACUGCUCAUUUUUUCCCCUAAGUGAUGUAAGUUUUAAAAAGUAUUUUGAUAUUAACAUUUUGUCAGAUAUGAUUUGUAAAUGUUUUCCCAUUCCAUGGGUUGAGUUUUUUCCCUUUUUGGAGAGUUUCCUUUGCUGUACAGAAGUUUUCUAGUUUGAUGGAGUCCCACUUGUUUAUUUUGCUUCUGCUACCUUUUCUUUUCAUGUCAAAUCCAAAAUACCAUACAAGACAAUACAAUGUCAAGUUCACCCCCAUGUUUUCUUCUGGGAGUUUUAUGGUUUCAGGUCUAACAUUCAAGUCUUCAUCCAUUUUGAGUUGAUUUUUGUGUAUGGUGUAAGAUAGUGGUCCAGAUUCAUUCUUUUGCAUGUAGCUGUCCAGUUUUCCCAGUACAGUUUACUAAAAAGACUAUCUUCUGUAUAUUCUUUGUAUAUUCCCCAUUGUAUAUUUGUAUAUUCCCCAUUUUUUACAUUUUAUAUUCCCCGUUGUAUACUCUUGGCUCAUUUGCUGUAAAC
Molecule: long non-coding RNA, 2450 nt
Organism: Bos taurus (domestic cattle)
Lineage: Eukaryota; Metazoa; Chordata; Mammalia; Artiodactyla; Bovidae
Source: Ensembl